RNAcentral lists this ribosomal RNA (253 nucleotides) under uncultured bacterium. RNAcentral describes it as "partial 16S ribosomal RNA". It matches the Rfam family "Bacterial small subunit ribosomal RNA", at positions 524 to 776 of the family's 1533-position model. The record is from RNAcentral.
UACAGAGGGGGCAAGCGUUGUUCGGAAUUACUGGGCGUAAAGGGCGCGUAGGCGGCCUUCUAAGUCGAACGUGAAAUCCCCGGGCUCAACCCGGGAACUGCGUCCGAUACUGGAAGGCUUGAAUCCGGGAGAGGGAUGCGGAAUUCCAGGUGUAGCGGUGAAAUGCGUAGAUAUUAGGAAGAACACCGGUGGCGAAGGCGGCCCACUGGCUCGAUACUGACGCUGAGGUGCGAAAGCGUGGGGAGCAAACAGG